UGGGGAAUUUUGGACAAUGGGCGAAAGCCUGAUCCAGCCAUGCCGCGUGCAGGAUGAAGGCCUUCGGGUUGUAAACUGCUUUUGUACGGAAUGAAAAGACUCUGGUUAAUACCUGGGGUCCAUGACGGUACCGUAAGAAUAAGCACCGGCUAACUACGUGCCAGCAGCCGCGGUAAUACGUAGGGUGCAAGCGUUAAUCGGAAUUACUGGGCGUAAAGCGUGCGCAGGCGGUUAUAUAAGACAGAUGUGAAAUCCCCGGGCUCAACCUGGGAACUGCAUUUGUGACUGUAUAGCUAGAGUACGGCAGAGGGGGAUGGAAUUUCCGCGUGUAGCAGUGAAAUGCGUAGAUAUGCGGAGGAACACCGAUGGCGAAGGCAAUCCCCUGGGCCUGUACUGACGCUCAUGCACGAAAAGCGUGGGGAGCAAACAGGAUUAGAUACCCUGGUAGUCCACGCCCUAAACGAUGUCAACUGGUUGUUGGGUCUUCACUGACUCAGUAACGAAGCUAACGCGUGAAGUUGACCGCCUGGGGAGU
RNAcentral lists this ribosomal RNA (535 nucleotides) under uncultured bacterium. Its description in RNAcentral is "partial 16S ribosomal RNA". It matches the Rfam family "Bacterial small subunit ribosomal RNA", at positions 355 to 881 of the family's 1533-position model. The record is from RNAcentral.